This 27-nucleotide small RNA is filed under the name Bombyx mori (domestic silkworm). RNAcentral describes it as "ovarian small RNA-26974". The record is from RNAcentral. Lineage: Eukaryota; Metazoa; Arthropoda; Insecta; Lepidoptera; Bombycidae.
UCCAUCUUGAAUAAAUCAGUCAGUGGC